Molecule: ribosomal RNA, 497 nt
Filed under: uncultured bacterium
Lineage: Bacteria
Description: partial 16S ribosomal RNA
Rfam family: Bacterial small subunit ribosomal RNA
Source: RNAcentral
GAUGAACGCUGGCGGCGUGCCUAAUACAUGCAAGUCGAGCGAACAGACGAGGAGCUUGCUCCUCUGACGUUAGCGGCGGACGGGUGAGUAACACGUGGAUAACCUACCUAUAAGACUGGGAUAACUUCGGGAAACCGGAGCUAAUACCGGAUAAUAUAUUGAACCGCAUGGUUCAAUAGUGAAAGACGGUUUUGCUGUCACUUAUAGAUGGAUCCGCGCCGCAUUAGCUAGUUGGUAAGGUAACGGCUUACCAAGGCAACGAUGCGUAGCCGACCUGAGAGGGUGAUAGGCCACCUUGGAGCGGAGACACGGUCCAGACUCCUACGGGAGGCAGCAGUAGGGAAUCUUCCGCAAUGGGCGAAAGCUUGACGGAGCAACGCCGCGUGAGUGAUGAAGGUCUUCGGAUCGUAAAACUCUGUUAUUAGGGAAGAACAAAUGUGUAAGUAACUAUGCACGUCUUGACGGUACCGAAUCAGAAAGCCACGGCUAACUACGUG